AAUUCAUCCGAAAUUUAUAUAUCCUUCUGAUUUUCUCACGGGCAUCCACCUCUCUUAUUUACCUUUCUACCACUCAAAAGGAGGGCGCAUCGAUCGAACUUUAGAUUAUUAUGGAUAUAUGUUGUUUUUAUUGAGUAAGUAUUCUUCUUGCUAUUGACCUUGUUUUAUAUUGUGUAUACACUUGACGAUGGAUUUCACAAUGUCAAGGUUAGGGUUCGUUACACUUGCAGUCAACGUUUUUGAGAUAGCAACAUUACGAGCUAUGUAUAUUCUCUGAUUAUCUUCCGUAUAAAACGAUCUGGAAUACGUUUGUUAGAUAGUCGGAACAACAAUAUUGCGACCGCUGAUUUUGUGAUUCGAAGGGUUAACUAUUCGUUAAUAAGUUCUCUAUGCUGUAUUUUAUAUGGUAUACGUGCACGGAAUUGAUAUAAAUAUCUUCAGUAAGAACUAUUUAUUGUCUCCGUACGUUACAUAUUUAAGUACGUUUCGUAUUACGUUUACUGCAUUUUUGUAUUGUUUUAUGUUCCUGUCCUAUUACAUCAUAGACACAUUCUGAUGUAAUUUCUUUUUCCUACACGGAUUAAUUCUAUCUAGGAGUGUAUCUUAUCGAACGCUGGCUGUGAAACGUGAGAAAAAGAUCCAUUUACUAUGUUUGUAGCAUACGUCCAUCACAUAAUUUAGCAAUGAAAAAUGUACGAGAUAUAUAAAUAUGGUGCGACAAGAAUCUUAAAAAUAGCCUCUCUCGGAUAUAGUGUGUUUUGUGUAAAUGUUUCGACGUUUAAUUUAACCGCAAUAUGAGCAUGCAAUUUCUAUGUGCUUCGAUCCCUCGAUAAGAUCAAGUUCGUACACGGUCUGAAGGUGUUACAGCGAUGUGAAUAUCAAUAAUGUUAAAGGUCUCGCAGAGCGAUGAGGUUAUCAUUAAAAACUGCGGGUGAAGUCACGCGUAGAAGUCACGAACUUCGAAGAAAUUUCGUGAAAGUAAGUGCCAACGUACCACGAAAUAUGCCAUUCUGUAAAUAGAAUGACCGGUGAGUGUAUUCAGAGAGAAACGAUUUGUGCUAUACGAGUUCUACAUCAGAUGCAACAGUUGGGAAAAAUCGAGUACAACGUGAACUAAUUUCACAUAAGCAGCGAACGUUCACCGUGCACUGAUUACUUGAAAAGUAAACAUUCAACUUUCGAUGAAAGUAAAAUUCAAUAUCAGUAAAAUUUGCAGAAUGUGUGUAAAGGAAAUGUUUAUGAUAUAAGGAUUAUUUAUAGAUACUAAUAUUCGUAUAUAAUAAAGUAAAUAAAACCAGUAGUGAUUACUAAAUUUAUAAAGUUAUGAUGAGAGCACUUAAUUUAUAAAAUUCAGGCAAACAUGUAAUUUAUGAUUAUUUAUCAUUAUUUGCUUAUUAUUUAUAAUUGCGUAUUGAGUAAUUAUUACCGAUUUCAAUUACAUUACUUUGCAAAAGAUACUAAAGUAAAUUAUUAUUAUUAAUACUCAUUUAAUAUUUUGAUAAUCGUAUUGAACCAACAUAUCAGUUAUAUCGUAUCAGAUUAAAUAGUGUUCAUUUGUAAGUACUUCAUGAAAUUGACACGUGUAAAUAAAUCGAAAGACGUGUUAGUCAGGCUAUCGUUUUUUGCUGGUUGAACGAUAGUAAUUGUAUCCUGAAAAUUGCUGUGCAGUAACGAGCAGCGGGUGCAAUUUUACAGCCGUUGAGUGGUUCGAAAGGAGCCGUUUCAAAGGAAGCGUUUCUUGGCAUUACUUUUAGCGGGCCACCUUUUUCCAUUAUUUUCAUUCACAGUGUGUUAAAAGCAGUUAAUUUAUAGCAGGUGAAUUUCAAACGAAUAGAUAUAAUGUUCCCACUACGACAAGCGGAAUAGUUGUUAAUAAGUAGGAAAUAGGAAUAACCUUACCUAAAUUUACGUUGUAAGGUUAAUAACGUUAUUACCAUUUUCUUUUACAAUUAGACCCUAUCAUUUAAUACAUCCUUUCAAUUAAUAGCGUUUUCAUAAUGAUAAUCAUUUUUAUUUCGAUAAUUUCUGCAAAUUUGCAGUUAUUACCAAGUAUCCAUAUAAAGUUAUCAAAAUUGCUCUACGAUGAAAUAUGUAAGUAUUUAGAAUUGAUGGGAAUAUAUGUAAAUUUCAAUUGUUUAUAUGUACAUAUAUAUAUAUCUGCUUGCUCGUGUUCUCCGUGAAUUGAGCUUAUGCAAAUCAUGUUUAUAAAGAAAUAGCGCACCAAAACUAUUCAAAUUAUGCAAAUGUGAAUAUUUAGUCACGAAAGUGAAAAAAAGUAGAUGAGAGCUGCGUGAGAUACGUGAACGUCAUCGAUUGGAAGCAGUGCAAUUCGAUGCAAGGAACGUAUAAGAAGAAGUGGGUUUAUCGUGUGCUGAGCUCACAGCUUGAUCGCUACAUUUUUCCAAUUGCACUUUUAAUUAAUUCGGUGAAUUUCCAUGAAUCGAUCCAUUCAUUUAUGAUAUUGAUCAUUACUACUGAAUGAAUUUUAAUACAAUACAAGUAAUAGAGCUAGAAUUAUUUUUCACUAUUGAAUUGAUAUUCUUAGUGAAAUUGUACAAGUUAGAAAUCGUAAGUUUUUUACUAUUAAUUUUCCAGUAUUAACUUUUAAAAGUUAUUAUCGGAAGAAAUUUAUGCUAUCAUAGAUUAAAUUUCACACCAUUACAUUUUUUUAAUCUAGAAAUUAAUAAAGUGAGACAAACGCAAUUAAAUAUUUUUAUUAUUAUUUAAUAAUAGGCGAACGAUAAGAAAGUUAUUAUUGUUAAUGGUUACAAAUAACAUCGUAAUAACAUCGAAACAAAGUCUGGAUGGAAAGAAAUUUCACGAGUUAUAUAACAGUAAAAUGAGUUUAAUAACGAAGCAAAUGAAUAUUUGCAAGUAAAUCUUACAAAUUACAAAUCAUUUAAUUAUUAUAUUUAACCGUCACAAAAAUAUAGUCACAAAAUAGAAAUCUAUCACUUGUAACUCUUUAAUUUAACUUGACAUAAUUUGUAAUUUGUUAAUUUAUUAAUAUUAUUAUUUAGUUGAUGAAUUAUUGCGCGAAGAACGAUUCAUUUUCAUCCAUUCACGAUUCGGUAAAAAUUAUUAUUAGUAAUUUCUAUUACUUUCACCAACAAGAGUAUAAUCAUAUACAAACUUUUCUUUUUUAACGAAAGAUAAAUAUCUUUGGAUUUUUGUUUAACAUAGUAACAGCAUUAUCCUUCAGUGAUUUUUUAAAAUUGUAACAAAAGUAUACUUGAGAGGACUCUUAAGAAAGAAAAUCUCUUAUUUUCAGUGUUAAGUUAUAAGGCCCAUUUCAUUUUGUCACCUGAGAAUAUCUGUCUUUUUACUUAUUAGUUAUCAUACAACCAGUAGCUGAAGGUAAUGUACAAGAGGGCCCAGAACUAUUUUCAAUGAUUAUAAAAGAAUUUCAAAGAGCUAUGUUUAAAUACACCGAUUAUACUAUUCGUGCAAGGCUAGUAUAAAAAGGGAAGAAAGAAAG
Long non-coding RNA from Bombus pascuorum, 3478 nucleotides. RefSeq lists it as uncharacterized. The record is from RefSeq and is a predicted model, not a curated record. The transcript is spliced from 2 exons. NCBI's taxonomy places the organism in Eukaryota, Metazoa, Arthropoda, Insecta, Hymenoptera, Apidae.